AGGGGGUUAGUCCAAAGUAAGAUUUCUGAUUUCGACUCAGAAGAUCGUGGUUAAACCCCAUGAUCCCCUU
Molecule: transfer RNA, 70 nt
Filed under: Opsaridium microlepis (mpasa)
Lineage: Eukaryota; Metazoa; Chordata; Actinopteri; Cypriniformes; Danionidae
Description: tRNA-Arg
Rfam family: tRNA
About the family: Transfer RNA (tRNA) molecules are approximately 80 nucleotides in length. Their secondary structure includes four short double-helical elements and three loops (D, anti-codon, and T loops).
Source: RNAcentral